AAGUCGUAACAAGGUCUCCGUUGGUGAACCAGCGGAGGGAUCAUUGCUGGAACAAACGCCCUCACGGGCGCUACCCAGAAACCCUUUGUGAAUUAUACCUAUUGUUGCCUCGGCAUUGGUUGGCUUCGAAUGAAGUCCCUGGCCCCCCUCUGGGGAGCCUGGAGCAGACCGGCCGACGGCCCCUAUAAACUCUUGUUUUUGUAUUAUCUUCUGAGUAAACAACUAUAAAUGAAUCAAAACUUUCAACAACGGAUCUCUUGGUUCUG
RNAcentral lists this unclassified non-coding RNA (266 nucleotides) under Ophiognomonia sp. RNAcentral describes it as "partial internal transcribed spacer region". The stretch from base 1 to 46 matches the Rfam family "Eukaryotic small subunit ribosomal RNA", at positions 1786 to 1831 of the family's 1831-position model. The record is from RNAcentral. Lineage: Eukaryota; Fungi; Ascomycota; Sordariomycetes; Diaporthales; Gnomoniaceae.